This is a non-coding RNA of Acanthosepion pharaonis, 112 nucleotides long. The record is from the annotation of a GenBank genome assembly. Lineage: Eukaryota; Metazoa; Mollusca; Cephalopoda; Sepiida; Sepiidae.
GGCGAUCUUAUCUGGUUGAAACACCGAUUCCUGUGCGAUCACUGAAGUUAAACAACGUCUAGCCUGGUCAGUACCUCGGUGGAUGACGUUUGCGAAAAUCAGGUGCUGUAUG